UAGUCCACGCCCUAAACGAUGAUAACUAGCCGUUGGCUCUUCGGAGCGAGUGGCGCAGCUAACGCAAUAAGUUAUCCGCCUGGGGAGUACGGCCGCAAGGUUAAAACUCAAAUGAAUUGACGGGGGCCCGCACAAGCGGUGGAGCAUGUGGUUUAAUUCGAUGCAACGCGAAGAACCUUACCAUCCUUUGACAUCCUUCGAAUCCUGUAGAGAUACGGGAGUGCCGAAAGGAAUGAAGUGACAGGUGCUGCAUGGCUGUCGUCAGCUCGUGUCGUGAGAUGUUGGGUUAAGUCCCGCAACGAGCGCAACCCUUAUCCUUAGUUGCCAUCAUUAAGUUGGGGACUCUAGGGAGACUGCCGGUGACAAGCCGGAGGAAGGUGGGGACGACGUCAAGUCAUCAUGGCCCUUUUGGGAUGGGCUACACACGUGCUACAAUGGCCAGUACAGAGGGCGGCGAAGGGGUGACCUGGAGCGAAUCCUUAAAAGCUGGUCGUAGUCCGGAUCGC
Molecule: ribosomal RNA, 506 nt
Filed under: uncultured bacterium
Lineage: Bacteria
Description: bacterial SSU rRNA
Rfam family: Bacterial small subunit ribosomal RNA
Source: RNAcentral